This 460-nucleotide ribosomal RNA is filed under the name uncultured bacterium. Its description in RNAcentral is "partial 16S ribosomal RNA". It matches the Rfam family "Bacterial small subunit ribosomal RNA", at positions 338 to 795 of the family's 1533-position model. The record is from RNAcentral.
CCUACGGGCGACAGCAGUGAGGAAUAUUGGUCAAUGGACGAGAGUCUGAACCAGCCAAGUAGCGUGAAGGAUGACUGCCCUAUGGGUUGUAAACUUCUUUUAUAUGGGAAUAAAAUGUUCCACGUGUGGGAUUUUGUAUGUACCAUAUGAAUAAGGAUCGGCUAACUCCGUGCCAGCAGCCGCGGUAAUACGGAGGAUCCGAGCGUUAUCCGGAUUUAUUGGGUUUAAAGGGAGCGUAGGUGGAUUGUUAAGUCAUGUGUGAAAGUUUGCGGCUCAACCGUAAAAUUGCAGUUGAAACUGGCAGUCUUGAGUACAGGAGAGGUGGGCGGAAUUCGUGGUGUAGCGGUGAAAUGCUUAGAUAUCACGAAGAACUCCGAUUGCGAAGGCAGUUCACUGGACUGAAACUGACACUGAGGCUCGAAAGUGUGGGUAUCAAACAGGAUUAGAUACCCGAGUAGUC